RNAcentral lists this long non-coding RNA (1360 nucleotides) under Triticum aestivum (bread wheat). RNAcentral describes it as "long non-coding RNA (TAES_LNC026625)". The record is from RNAcentral. Lineage: Eukaryota; Viridiplantae; Streptophyta; Magnoliopsida; Poales; Poaceae.
AAUAAGCUCAUUACAGAAAGAUGGCAAUAUAAGCAAAGAACAUACAACUGGGAUAGGCCAUGAACAUAAGCAUACAUGAGUACCUCAAAGGCAAGUAAGUAACUCUUAUGAUCUAUUUCCAGUUGAAAAUAUAGCUGGAAAUUACAAACCAUGACAAGUCAGAAUGGUAGAGGAAGAGACCAACGGUCACGCAACAGUGAAGUGAGAUGAUCUAAAUCUUACACAAAAUAAUUCUGUAGCUGAAUGUUAACAAAUAACUCUGCAGUUCUAUGCUCAUUCACAAAUGUGGUUCAGCAGAAGCACCUCCGACCAUUAUUCUGUCAACAAAACAGACUCAUCAUUCACAAAUAUUCUAGGAUUUUACAGUUAUUCUAUUUCUUGGAGAUGUAAAAGCAUUUAAUCAUGUGGGAUAGUUUAAACUGAAGCAAUAUUAGUACAAUGAAAAGUUGACAUUCUCGACUCUAUGUAGCUCUUUUCAGAACAGAAAAAUCACUGUAACUUUAAUUUCAUUAUUUCCUUUGCUUGCUGAACAUUGAACAAUACACAACACCAGAGUCGUGCUACGAUUUUAGGUAUACAACGAGUAACUAAUAAACCAUGUUUAUGUACCAGUGCACCAUAAUUUAUGAAAAUACGAAGCAGAGAACGUCCAAUUUUGUAGUUGAGCACAUUUUGUGAGGAGUGCUCCCAACGUUUUGUGUGCCCACGACACAUUAUGAACCAAUCGCCAUGUUCAUGUUCGUUCUACUUAUGAGGUAGGAAUGCCAGCCACUUUGGCGUUCCUCUCAAUCAGAACAUAAAUAUCAUUUAGCCAAAUAUGUAACACUGGUAUCAUUUUCUCUAUUUAAAAUUUACCACCUUACAGUGACCAAACUAAGACAGAACUGAAUCACUCUUCUUGGCCAUAAUCAGAACAAAACUGGAGCCAACCUGAACACUGAUUGCAGAAAAUAACUGAUCAAACAUGCAAGCUCCUCUGAGCAAUGUGACCAGAUUAGUAAAUCAAAUGUGGUGCUUGGAGUAGAUUAAAAUCAGCAGAAACAUUUGGUUACUGAAGGCACACACCAAUGAACAUGACAUGAAAUUCAGAAGGAUUCAGAUGCUCUUAGUCCUAUCAAACACCACAAAACUAUCGUACAGUUUGCUCAAAUCCUGAACUAAAAAGAGUGGAUUGCCCUCAGCCACAAAUAAGCUAACUAGCCACAAGUUUCCCCAAUAAAUUAUGAAUCGCACCAGACCCGUACCUUGGACAUUAACAGUAGCAGAAAUCAUUGGACGCAUCAACAACCAGACCAAGAACCUUACCUAAAAACGAAGGACGGGGGAGAGGGGGAGGAGAACGACGGAGGGGGCACCGGAG